CUGCUCAGCCGCGCAGCACAGUGGCAGGCCAGCGCCAAUCAGGACAGACUAAGGAGGAUUUGGAGGCCCCCAAGGGGUGUGGAGGCUCUGGACUUCAGCCUGGAAAUCCAGGGGUUAGAGUGCCUCUGUGUAUGCUGAUGAACAGUAAGGCAUUUCUGCUGUUAAGAACAUCAACUGAGAGCUGAAAACAUGUGACAGAGUUGCCUACUGACUGGGGAAAUUUCCAGGUUUGGUCAGCAGCUGCUAGCCAGAUCUACAAAAAUCAUUAGAUGAAGCAUUUCACAUGAUGGAGUUUGUACAGAUUCCUGAUAUUCUGGGAAUAUAUUUGUGGAUUACUGAAGAUAAACAGAAUACAUGUAGUUAUGUCAGAAAAGAUUCGUGCUCUCAUCAAGUUUAAAAUAUGCUAAGAAUAUGUUUCUGUUAAUAGUAGAAAUAAAAACCGCUUAAACUGAGGGCAAUCAGCAAUAAAGCACUUUAAAUUUAUUAAAAUGAAUAUAGCUUUCAUUAAUCCCCAGCAAUGCAUAUUAAUGUUUUUGUGAAUCAUAGCAGCAAGCCUAUUGCAAACAAUGCCAUUUUAGC
Long non-coding RNA from Hemicordylus capensis (graceful crag lizard), 579 nucleotides. RefSeq lists it as uncharacterized. The transcript is spliced from 3 exons. NCBI's taxonomy places the organism in Eukaryota, Metazoa, Chordata, Lepidosauria, Squamata, Cordylidae. The record is from RefSeq and is a predicted model, not a curated record.